AUGCUGGCGACCUUGCAGCAACAUUGCGGGGUGGUGCCGUCCGAGGUGGUCAUCGAGGUCGCGUGCCCACCACACGACCUGUGGCUGAUGUUCUCAACGGAGGAGAAGUGUUCUGAGGUGCUCCUGUCGUCAAUGAAGAUCAAGUGUUACCGGUGUUGGAUUCAGUUUUCGCGUUGGUGUAGAAUGGUUCGUGCUCAGCCAGGUGCUCUGGAGUACAAGUGCAAGCUCGGCUUAGAAGGCCUCCCUAACCAGGCCUGGACGACGACGUCCGUGAAAGAUGUUCUCAAGCAGCUGGGUGGCGAGCUGAUCAAGAUUCUGCCGCCGGCAAGCCGCCGUGAGCUUGAGGUAAUGGCGUGGCUUCAUGACCCUGCGUUUGUUGGCAAGGUGGUGAGAGUGGAGAUACCUGAGCCGAAGCUGACAAACAAGCCACCAGAGCCCAUGGAUGAGUAUGAAGCAAUGCAAUUUUAA
This 468-nucleotide ribosomal RNA is filed under the name Triticum aestivum (bread wheat). RNAcentral describes it as "partial small subunit ribosomal RNA". Lineage: Eukaryota; Viridiplantae; Streptophyta; Magnoliopsida; Poales; Poaceae. The record is from RNAcentral.